UGAGUGUCCACGUGCUGCUCUGUGCGUCUGAGUGGGAGUUGCAAGUUAGUCCUGCCGCCUAUCCGCCAUCUUCAAACCCACAAUUUUUUUUUUUUUUUUUAGUUGUAGCCUUUAAAUACAUCUUAAUUAACUGAAAAGCCCUUGAAAAAGCAAGAAAAAGUCAAAGAAAGUAUUUCAAGAUAAAGGUCUCUUCACUGAUAAUUUGGAGGCUGCAAACUUUGAAGAGGAAAUAGCAUAGAUUUGCCACGGAUAAUGGAAGGAACAACUGACUUUCCUCUAGAGGAUUUGAACUGGAGGAGGCUUGAAGUUGAACAAUGGAACUCUCAGUACCAACUUCCCUUUACAGUCUGAUCUCAGAAAUCUGACAGCCAGUUGUAUUCCCCCAGACCCUCUACCUUCACCUGUACUGAGGUUGUCCCACAUGGCAGUUUCAGGCGCAAUUCUUCUGGAGAUGACAAAGGGCAGGAAGGUGCUUCAGCUGGUCGGUUGGCCAGAGUUUCUCAUCAAGGAGUACAUGCUGUUUGCUCCCCAGAUGGACAGCCUGGAUGAGCUACAAAUCCACAGAGCCUGGGACACAAGGUGGAAAUUACACUGCCAGUACUUUUAAUCUUGCACAGCUCUGCACACUUGAAAUUGCAAGUGGCCCAUUUCCAAAUGAGCAUCUAUUGGGACAAUAUCCUAUAUCUUGUCAGAAUGAGUCCCAUUAAAUCCUCAGCUGGAAUUAGACCAAAAACUUGUAAUAAUUACAGUAAACUUAUUAAAAAGUUGAAGCCCUAGACUGUGACAGUGAAAACACUCAAGCGACAUUAACAGUAAUUGAAAUUUCUGUGAGUUUUUCUUUUUCAAUCAGUCCUUGUUUAUGGCUAAGCAAAAACACCGAAAUGAGAAGGUGUGAAACCACAACACCCAGCUUCUCAGGGGGGGAAUUGUCUUUUGUUUCAUUAUAAAACGUAGUGUUAGAAUGGAAGUGAAUUGCUCAUUCUCAGCCUGGGGCACCUGCCAAACCCAUGCCCCCACUCCCAGAAGGAGCUCUAGUCACCAUCAGGAAUGAAUGACCCAGCCUCUCCCCAGUAGUGUGGCCCCCCUUUCCUCUCUCAUCUGCUAUUCUACCUUCAACAUUCACUGCCUCCCCUACUAAGUUCUGAGAGUUAAAGACAAGAGUAAUAAAGAAAUGAUUUGGAAACCUGGCCUAGCAAAUA
This is a long non-coding RNA of Homo sapiens (human), 1199 nucleotides long. Ensembl annotates it as CFAP20DC divergent transcript. Its record names the gene CFAP20DC-DT. Lineage: Eukaryota; Metazoa; Chordata; Mammalia; Primates; Hominidae. The record is from Ensembl.